GUCAGGGGCCUGUUGCACAAAAGUAGAAUUAAGACAUCCGGGAUAAAUGACUCAGCUGAGCUCAAUGAAGCCAAAACAUGUGCAUCCAGGCUUAAUUGGUUGCACAAAGACCAAGCCAGGAUGAGUAGACACGGAUUCAUUAAGCCAGGUGAAACCAAUCCUGGAUAGGUGCGCGCUCACGGCUCACUCAAAUAGACCCCGCCACAGAUCACAGAUUAACUGAUUUACCAUGGCAACUAGAGCCGCGUACUUUUCCCCGUCGGAAGCACAAAUCCUCAUGGAGGCAUACGAGGAGGUAAAAGAUAUAAUUAAGAAGAAAGGCAACACCGCCACAGUGAUAAAGCAAAGAGAAAAAGCGUGGCAAAGUAUUGCAGACCGCCUGAAUGCGUAAGUAGUGCACAAUUACACACUCACCGCUCCGCUGAAACAUCACAAUUACAAUUCAAAUAUUUAAUUCACAUCUCCAAAAAUGCAGUUGUACUGUAAUUAUGAAACGGUUAAAUUUUUAAUUGAAAUGCACUGCAGAUAUGAGUGAAAUUGUGUAAAGUAACUCCAUCACACUGUAUAAAGCUAUGAUACAUUUUUUGAUAUUUUUACUGAAAACAAGACAAAAAUACCAAGUAAUUUUUUGCAGUGUGACUCCAUUAAAUGUGUGUGUGUGUGUGUGUGUGUGUGUGUAGAUUAAACAUGAACGGGCCAAAACGGACAUGGCAGCAGGUCAAAAUCAAAUACAAGAACAUUCUGCAGAAUGCAGUGAAAAAGAAUACCCACAGACAAGGCACGGGUGGUGGGUCACCAAAGGCUGACCUUACCCCAGCAGAGGACAUGGCCUUGGAGCUAAAUAAAGGCAGGCCCGUCUUAAGAGGGGAUCCCUGGGGGGAAAGAGACGAGCAUAGCUUCCUCCCAAGAUGCCACCCGCUUCAUUCAAGUGCCUGGCAGCACUGUGUUCCUGUUAGAGCCACCAGCACAAGCACCAGACGAUGCUGAUCCAGGUGAAGGCCCCAGUGCAGCAGCAACAGCACAUGAUGGAGACGAUGAUGAGGAGGAGACCAUCUCUCUGGAUUCCAGAAGGCAUGAGGACCCAGAUGCUAUACAGUGGGAAAACCAGCCUGGCAACAUAGUGCGUAUUAAUAAAAGGACACCACAUCCUGCCAAAUUCCAGCUGCGCUAAUUGUAUUGUGUUCACAGAGCUCACAAGCUAUCAGAAAGUUGUAUGGCAACCACCUCCGGCGCCAAAUAGAACUGGCAGACAUAGACAUUCAGUACAAGAAGAAAAAGAUGGAAAGUCUUGCACUGGAGUCCGAAAUAAAAAAGAGGACAAUUAGGAAACUGGACCUUGAAAUAAAAAAACUUGAGAGGGAGCUCCAAGAAGAUGACACAGCUCAAAAUAAAAAUUAGGUAUAUUCUCGUAAAGUCAAGUGAGCCAUGAGAUAUGAGCUCUUAUUGUGAGCACACAGGACGGUGGCAUAUUUCUAAGUUUUUUUAUUUUCCCAGCAAUCAGUACAACCAAGUCAUCGUUAUA
Oncorhynchus nerka (sockeye salmon) is the source of this 1522-nucleotide long non-coding RNA. RefSeq lists it as uncharacterized. The transcript has 6 exons. The record is from RefSeq and is a predicted model, not a curated record. NCBI's taxonomy places the organism in Eukaryota, Metazoa, Chordata, Actinopteri, Salmoniformes, Salmonidae.